Molecule: ribosomal RNA, 494 nt
Filed under: uncultured bacterium
Lineage: Bacteria
Description: bacterial SSU rRNA
Rfam family: Bacterial small subunit ribosomal RNA
Source: RNAcentral
AGGACGAACGCUGGCGGCGUGCCUAACACAUGCAAGUCGAACGGAACUGUUAUGAUUGAUCUUCGGAUGAAAGAUUUCAGUUAGUGGCGGACGGGUGAGUAACGCGUGAGUAACCUGCCUCUGAGAGGGGAAUAACGUUCUGAAAAGAACGCUAAUACCGCAUAACACAUAAUUACCGCAUGGUAAAUAUGUCAAAAGAUUUUUAUCGCUCAGAGAUGGACUCGCGUCCGAUUAGUUAGUUGGUGAGGUAACGGCUCACCAAGACCGCGAUCGGUAGCCGGACUGAGAGGUUGAACGGCCACAUUGGGACUGAGACACGGCCCAGACUCCUACGGGAGGCAGCAGUGGGGGAUAUUGCGCAAUGGGGGCAACCCUGAACCGCAGCAACGCCGCGUGAAGGAUGAAGGUUUUCGGAUUGUAAACUUCUUUUAUCAGGGACGAAAAUUGACGGUACCUGAUGAAUAAGCUCCGGCUAACUACGUGCCAGCAGCGGC